AGGUUAAUGAGGCGAACCGGGGGAACUGAAACAUCUAAGUACCCCGAGGAAAAGAAAUCAACCGAGAUUCCCCCAGUAGCGGCGAGCGAACGGGGAGCAGCCCAGAGCCUGAAUCAGUAUGUGUGUUAGUGGAAGCGUCUGGAAAGGCGCGCGAUACAGGGUGACAGCCCCGUACACAAAAAUGCACAUGCUGUGAGCUCGAUGAGUAGGGCGGGACACGUGGUAUCCUGUCUGAAUAUGGGGGGACCAUCCUCCAAGGCUAAAUACUCCUGACUGACCGAUAGUGAACCAGUACCGUGAGGGAAAGGCGAAAAGAACCCCGGCGAGGGGAGUGAAAAAGAACCUGAAACCGUGUACGUACAAGCAGUGGGAGCACGCUUAGGCGUGUGACUGCGUACCUUUUGUAUAAUGGGUCAGCGACUUAUAUUCUGUAGCAAGGUUAACCGAAUAGGGGAGCCGAAGGGAAACCGAGUCUUAACUGGGCGUUAAGUUGCAGGGUAUAGACCCGAAACCCGGUGAUCUAGCCAUGGGCAGGUUGAAGGUUGGGUAACACUAACUGGAGGACCGAACCGACUAAUGUUGAAAAAUUAGCGGAUGACUUGUGGCUGGGGGUGAAAGGCCAAUCAAACCGGGAGAUAGCUGGUUCUCCCCGAAAGCUAUUUAGGUAGCGCCUCGUGAAUUCAUCUCCGGGGGUAGAGCACUGUUUCGGCAAGGGGGUCAUCCCGACUUACCAACCCGAUGCAAACUGCGAAUACCGGAGAAUGUUAUCACGGGAGACACACGGCGGGUGCUAACGUCCGUCGUGAAGAGGGAAACAACCCAGACCGCCAGCUAAGGUCCCAAAGUCAUGGUUAAGUGGGAAACGAUGUGGGAAGGCCCAGACAGCCAGGAUGUUGGCUUAGAAGCAGCCAUCAUUUAAAGAAAGCGUAAUAGCUCACUGGUCGAGUCGGCCUGCGCGGAAGAUGUAACGGGGCUAAACCAUGCACCGAAGCUGCGGCAGCGACGCUGAUGCGUUGUUGGGUAGGGGAGCGUUCUGUAAGCCUGCGAAGGUGUGCUGUGAGGCAUGCUGGAGGUAUCAGAAGUGCGAAUGCUGACAUAAGUAACGAUAAAGCGGGUGAAAAGCCCGCUCGCCGGAAGACCAAGGGUUCCUGUCCAACGUUAAUCGGGGCAGGGUGAGUCGACCCCUAAGGCGAGGCCGAAAGGCGUAGUCGAUGGGAAACAGGUUAAUAUUCCUGUACUUGGUGUUACUGCGAAGGGGGGACGGAGAAGGCUAUGUUGGCCGGGCGACGGUUGUCCCGGUUUAAGCGUGUAGGCUGGUUUUCCAGGCAAAUCCGGAAAAUCAAGGCUGAGGCGUGAUGACGAGGCACUGCGGUGCUGAAGCAACAAAUGCCCUGCUUCCAGGAAAAGCCUCUAAGCAUCAGGUAACAUCAAAUCGUACCCCAAACCGACACAGGUGGUCAGGUAGAGAAUACCAAGGCGCUUGAGAGAACUCGGGUGAAGGAACUAGGCAAAAUGGUGCCGUAACUUCGGGAGAAGGCACGCUGAUAUGUAGG
This 1553-nucleotide ribosomal RNA is filed under the name Escherichia coli. RNAcentral describes it as "partial 23S ribosomal RNA". It matches the Rfam family "Bacterial large subunit ribosomal RNA", at positions 168 to 1762 of the family's 2925-position model. Lineage: Bacteria; Pseudomonadati; Pseudomonadota; Gammaproteobacteria; Enterobacterales; Enterobacteriaceae. The record is from RNAcentral.